This 471-nucleotide ribosomal RNA is filed under the name uncultured organism. RNAcentral describes it as "partial 16S ribosomal RNA". It matches the Rfam family "Bacterial small subunit ribosomal RNA", at positions 334 to 797 of the family's 1533-position model. The record is from RNAcentral.
CACUCCUGCGGGAGGCAGCAGUGGGGAAUAUUGCACAAUGGGCGCAAGCCUGAUGCAGCCAUGCCGCGUGUAUGAAGAAGGCCUUCGGGUUGUAAAGUACUUUCAGCGGGGAGGAAGGCGAUAAGGUUAAUAACCUUGUCGAUUGACGUUACCCGCAGAAGAAGCACCGGCUAACUCCGUGCCAGCAGCCGCGGUAAUACGGAGGGUGCAAGCGUUAAUCGGAAUUACUGGGCGUAAAGCGCACGCAGGCGGUCUGUCAAGUCGGAUGUGAAAUCCCCGGGCUCAACCUGGGAACUGCAUUCGAAACUGGCAGGCUAGAGUCUUGUAGAGGGGGGUAGAAUUCCAGGUGUAGCGGUGAAAUGCGUAGAGAUCUGGAGGAAUACCGGUGGCGAAGGCGGCCCCCUGGACAAAGACUGACGCUCAGGUGCGAAAGCGUGGGGAGCAAACAGGAUUAGAUACCCGAGUAGUCCC